RNAcentral lists this ribosomal RNA (433 nucleotides) under uncultured bacterium. RNAcentral's name for it is "partial 16S ribosomal RNA". It matches the Rfam family "Bacterial small subunit ribosomal RNA", at positions 29 to 507 of the family's 1533-position model. The record is from RNAcentral.
AACGAACGCUGGCGGCAUGCUCAACACAUGCAAGUCGAAGGAGGCCUUCGACUCUCGUCGCGCACGGGUGCGUAACGCGUGGGAACCUGCGCUUAGGUUCGGAAGAAAGCCGCCAAAGGGGUGCGAAAAUCGGGUAAAGUCUUCGGACCAAAGAUCGAGCGCCUUUGGUUGCUACCGGGUUGGAUUAGCGAGUUGGUAGGGUAAAAGCCUACCAAGGCGACGAGCCAUAGCUGGUCUGAGAGGAUGAGCAGCCACACUGAGACUGAGACACGGCGCAGACGUCUAGAGGAGGGAGCAGUGGGGGAUAUUGUAAAACGGGCGAAAGCCUGAUACGACGAUGCCGCGUGAGUUGUAAAGGCCUUAGGGUUGUAAAGCACGUUCACCAGCGAUGAUAAUGACAGUACCGGGAGAAUAAGCUCCGGCUAACUCGGUG